This 587-nucleotide ribosomal RNA is filed under the name uncultured bacterium. Its description in RNAcentral is "bacterial SSU rRNA". It matches the Rfam family "Bacterial small subunit ribosomal RNA", at positions 337 to 916 of the family's 1533-position model. The record is from RNAcentral.
UCCUACGGGAGGCAGCAGUGGGGAAUAUUGCACAAUGGGGGAAACCCUGAUGCAGCCAUGCCGCGUGUGUGAAGAAGGCCUUCGGGUUGUAAAGCACUUUCAGUUGUGAGGAAAAGUUAGUAGUUAAUACCUGCUAGCCGUGACGUUAACAACAGAAGAAGCACCGGCUAACUCCGUGCCAGCAGCCGCGGUAAUACGGAGGGUGCGAGCGUUAAUCGGAAUUACUGGGCGUAAAGCGCACGCAGGCGGUUUGUUAAGCUAGAUGUGAAAGCCCCGGGCUCAACCUGGGAUGGUCAUUUAGAACUGGCAGACUAGAGUCUUGGAGAGGGGAGUGGAAUUCCAGGUGUAGCGGUGAAAUGCAUAGAUAUCUGGAGGAACAUCAGUGGCGAAGGCGACUCCCUGGCCAAAGACUGACGCUCAUGUGCGAAAGUGUGGGUAGCGAACAGGAUUAGAUACCCUGGUAGUCCACACCGUAAACGCUGUCUACUAGCUGUGUGUGCCUUUAAGGCGUGCGUAGCGAAGCUAACGCGCUAAGUAGACCGCCUGGGGAGUACGGCCGCAAGGUUAAAACUCAAAUGAAUUGACGG